UACGAAGGGAGCUAGCGUUGUUCGGAAUUACUGGGCGUAAAGGGCGCGUAGGCGGUUAACUAAGUCAGAUGUGAAAGCCUUGGGCUUAACCUGAGAACAGCAUUUGAUACUGGUUGACUUGAGAUCGAGAGAGGAAAGUGGAAUUACGAGUGUAGAGGUGAAAUUCGUAGAUAUUCGUAAGAACACCAGUGGCGAAGGCGACUUUCUGGCUCGAUACUGACGCUAAGGCGCGAAAGCGUGGGGAGCAAACAGG
RNAcentral lists this ribosomal RNA (253 nucleotides) under uncultured bacterium. RNAcentral's name for it is "partial 16S ribosomal RNA". It matches the Rfam family "Bacterial small subunit ribosomal RNA", at positions 524 to 776 of the family's 1533-position model. The record is from RNAcentral.